This 632-nucleotide ribosomal RNA is filed under the name uncultured bacterium. RNAcentral describes it as "bacterial SSU rRNA". It matches the Rfam family "Bacterial small subunit ribosomal RNA", at positions 8 to 646 of the family's 1533-position model. The record is from RNAcentral.
AGAGUUUGAUCAUGGCUCAGAAUCAACGCUGGCGGCGUGCCUAACACAUGCAAGUCGAGCGAGAAAAGGGGAGCAAUCCUCUGAGUAAAGCGGCGCACGGGUGAGUAACACGUGGGUAAUCUGCCCUGGAGUGGGGAAUAACACCGGGAAACCGGUGCUAAUACCGCAUACGAUCACGAUGUCUGCGGAUGUUGUGAUGAAAGGAGCAAUUCGCUCCAGGAUGAGCCCGCGGCUGAUUAGCUAGUUGGUGAGGUAAUGGCUCACCAAGGCUACGAUCAGUAUCCGGUCUGAGAGGACGGUCGGACACACUGGAACUGAGACACGGUCCAGACUCCUACGGGAGGCAGCAGCGGGGAAUUUUUCGCAAUGGGGGCAACCCUGACGAAGCAACGCCGCGUGGAUGAUGAAGUAUCUUGGUACGUAAAAUCCUUUCGACAGGGAAGAAGCCGCAAGGUUGACGGUACCUGUAGAAGAAGCCCCGGCUAACUCCGUGCCAGCAGCCGCGGUAAUACGGGGGGGGCAAGCGUUGUUCGGAAUUACUGGGCGUAAAGGGUGCGUAGGCGGUUUGCUAAGUUGGAUGUGAAAACUCUGGGCUUAACCCAGAGCCUGCAUCCAAAACUGGCAAGCUAGAG